GCCCAGCUGGCUCAGAGCGUGUGACUCUUGAUCCCGGGGUUGUGAGUUCGAGCCCCACGUUGGGUG
Molecule: transfer RNA, 66 nt
Filed under: Felis catus (domestic cat)
Lineage: Eukaryota; Metazoa; Chordata; Mammalia; Carnivora; Felidae
Rfam family: tRNA
About the family: Transfer RNA (tRNA) molecules are approximately 80 nucleotides in length.
Source: Rfam by way of RNAcentral